This 253-nucleotide ribosomal RNA is filed under the name uncultured bacterium. RNAcentral's name for it is "partial 16S ribosomal RNA". It matches the Rfam family "Bacterial small subunit ribosomal RNA", at positions 524 to 776 of the family's 1533-position model. The record is from RNAcentral.
UACGGGGGGAGCAAGCGUUGUUCGGAUUUACUGGGCGUAAAGGGCGCGUAGGCGGCACAGCAAGUCGGGAGUGAAAGCCCGGGGCUCAACCCCGGAACUGCUUUCGAAACUGCUGAGCUAGGGUACAGAAGGGGCAACCGGAAUUCCCAGUGUAGCGGUGAAAUGCGUAGAUAUUGGGAAGAACACCUGAGGCGAAGGCGGGUUGCUGGGCUGAUACUGACGCUGAGGCGCGAAAGCCAGGGGAGCAAACGGG